GGAUUAGAUACCCUGGUAGUCCACGCCGUAAACGAUGUCAACUAGUUGUUCGUGUCAUUAAGACGUGAGUAACGCAGCUAACGCACUAAGUUGACCGCCUGGGGAGUACGGCCGCAAGGUUAAAACUCAAAUGAAUUGACGGGGGCCCGCACAAGCGGUGGAGCAUGUGGUUUAAUUCGAUGCAACGCGAAGAACCUUACCAUCCCUUGACAUCCAGUGAAUUUUUCAGAGAUGAAUUAGUGCCUUCGGGAACACUGAGACAGGUGCUGCAUGGCUGUCGUCAGCUCGUGCCG
Molecule: ribosomal RNA, 293 nt
Filed under: uncultured bacterium
Lineage: Bacteria
Description: partial 16S ribosomal RNA
Rfam family: Bacterial small subunit ribosomal RNA
Source: RNAcentral